UCAUCAACCCUGUGACAUACCUAUAACGUUGCCUCGGCGGGAACAGACGGCCCCGUAACACGGGCCGCCCCCGCCAGAGGACCCCCUAACUCUGUUUCUAUAAUGUUUCUUCUGAGUAAACAAGCAAAUAAAUUAAAACUUUCAACAACGGAUCUCUUGGCUCUGGCAUCGAUGAAGAACGCAGCGAAAUGCGAUAAGUAAUGUGAAUUGCAGAAUUCAGUGAAUCAUCGAAUCUUUGAACGCACAUUGCGCCCGCCAGUAUUCUGGCGGGCAUGCCUGUUCGAGCGUCAUUACAACCCUCAGGCCCCCGGGCCUGGCGUUGGGGAUCGGCGGAAGCCCCCUGCGGGCACAACGCCGUCCCCCAAAUACAGUGGCGGUCCCGCCGCAGCUUCCAUUGCGUAGUAGCUAACACCUCGCAACUGGAGAGCGGCGCGGCCACGCCGUAAAACACCCAACUUCUGAAUGUUGACCUCGAAUCAGGUAGGAAUACCCGCUGAACUUAAGCAU
Molecule: ribosomal RNA, 507 nt
Filed under: Fusarium oxysporum f. sp. lycopersici
Lineage: Eukaryota; Fungi; Ascomycota; Sordariomycetes; Hypocreales; Nectriaceae
Description: eukaryotic LSU rRNA
Rfam family: 5.8S ribosomal RNA (bases 137-290)
Source: RNAcentral